RNAcentral lists this non-coding RNA (19 nucleotides) under Arabidopsis thaliana (thale cress). The record is from RNAcentral. Lineage: Eukaryota; Viridiplantae; Streptophyta; Magnoliopsida; Brassicales; Brassicaceae.
GGGUGUUGGUCGAUUAAGA